UUAUCGGAGAGUUUGAUCCUGGCUCAGGACGAACGCUGGCGGCGUGCCUAAUACAUGCAAGUCGAGCGGACAGAUGGGAGCUUGCUCCCUGAUGUAAGCG
RNAcentral lists this ribosomal RNA (100 nucleotides) under Bacillus spizizenii. RNAcentral's name for it is "partial 16S ribosomal RNA". It matches the Rfam family "Bacterial small subunit ribosomal RNA", at positions 1 to 97 of the family's 1533-position model. The record is from RNAcentral. Lineage: Bacteria; Bacillati; Bacillota; Bacilli; Caryophanales; Bacillaceae.